Molecule: ribosomal RNA, 497 nt
Filed under: uncultured bacterium
Lineage: Bacteria
Description: bacterial SSU rRNA
Rfam family: Bacterial small subunit ribosomal RNA
Source: RNAcentral
AAAUGAAUAGACGGGGGCCCGCACAAGCGGUGGAGCAUGUGGUUUAAUUCGAUGCAACGCGCAGAACCUUACCUGGUCUUGACAUCCUUCUGAAUGCAUGUAGAGAUACGAGCAGGCCCUUCGGGGACAGGAGAGACAGGUGCUGCAUGGCUGUCGUCAGCUCGUGUUGUGAGAUGUUGGGUUAAGUCCCGCAACGAGCGCAACCCUUGCUAUUAGUUGCCAGCAUUAAGUUGGGCACUCUAAUAGGACUGCCCGGGUUAACCGGGAGGAAGGUGGGGAUGACGUCAAGUCCUCAUGGCCUUUAUGACCAGGGCUACACACGUGCUACAAUGGUGAGAACAGAGGGAAGCUAAACAGCAAUGUCAUGCAAAUCUCAAAAAACUCAUCUCAGUUCGGAUUGGAGUCUGCAACUCGACUCCAUGAAGUUGGAAUCGCUAGUAAUCGCGGAUCAGCAUGCCGCGGUGAAUACGUUCCCGGGCCUUGUACACACCGCCCGU